UUUCCAGACUCCUACGGGAGGCAGCAGUGAGGAAUAUUGGUCAAUGGCCGUAAGGCUGAACCAGCCAAGUCGCGUGAAGGAAGAAGGAUCUAUGGUUUGUAAACUUCUUUUAUAGGGGAAUAAAGGUAUCCACGUGUGGAUAUUUGCAUGUACCCUAUGAAUAAGCAUCGGCUAACUCCGUGCCAGCAGCCGCGGUAAUACGGAGGAUCCGAGCGUUAUCCGGAUUUAUUGGGUUUAAAGGGAGCGUAGAUGGGUUGUUAAGUCAGUUGUGAAAGUUUGCGGCUCAACCGUAAAAUUGCAAUUGAUACUGGCAGUCUUGAGUACAGUUGAGGUAGGCGGAAUUCGUGGUGUAGCGGUGAAAUGCUUAGAUAUCACGAAGAACCCCGAUUGCGAAGGCAGCUUACUAAACUGUGACUGACAUUGAUGCUCGAAAGUGUGGGUAUCAAACAGGAUUAGAUACCCCCGUAGG
Molecule: ribosomal RNA, 469 nt
Filed under: uncultured bacterium
Lineage: Bacteria
Description: bacterial SSU rRNA
Rfam family: Bacterial small subunit ribosomal RNA
Source: RNAcentral